RNAcentral lists this ribosomal RNA (457 nucleotides) under uncultured bacterium. Its description in RNAcentral is "partial 16S ribosomal RNA". It matches the Rfam family "Bacterial small subunit ribosomal RNA", at positions 28 to 523 of the family's 1533-position model. The record is from RNAcentral.
GAUGAACGCUGGCGGCGUGCCUAAUACAUGCAAGUCGUACGGAAAGGCCCUUCGGGGUACUUGAGUGGCGGACGGCUGAGUAACGCGUGGGAACGUGCCCCAAAGUGAGGGACAACGCACCGAAAGGUGUGCUAAUACCGCAUAUGGUCUUCGGAUAAAAGCUUCGGCGCUUUGGGAGCGGCCCGCGUACGAUUAGAUAGUUGGUGAGGUAAUGGCUCACCAAGUCGACGAUCGUUAGCUGGUCUGAGAGGAUGAUCAGCCAGACUGGGACUGAGACACGGCCCAGACUCCUACGGGAGGCAGCAGUAAGGAAUCUUCCACAAUGGGGGCAACCCUGAUGGAGCAACGCCGCGUGCAGGAUGAAGGUUUUCGGAUCGUAAACUGCUUUUAUAAGUGAAGAAUAUGACGGUAACUUAUGAAUAAGGAUCGGCUAACUACGUGCCAGCCGCCGCAGUAA